UCAGGAUGAACGCUAGCGGCAGGCUAACACAUGCAAGUCGAGGGGCAUCGGGAGUAGCAAUACUGCCGGCGACCGGCGCAAGGGUGCGUAACGCGUGAGCAACAUGCCCGUAUCAGGGGGAUAAUCCAUGGAAACGUGGUCUAAUACCCCAUAGUAAUUAUGUAAGGCAUCUUAUAUAAUUUAAAGCUUUGGUGGAUACGGAUUGGCUCGCGUGACAUUAGCUAGAUGGUAAGGUAACGGCUUACCAUGGCUACGAUGUCUAGGGGUUCUGAGAGGAAGGCCCCCCACACUGGAACUGAGACACGGUCCAGACUCCUACGGGAGGCAGCAGUGAGGAAUAUUGGACAAUGGAUGGAAAUCUGAUCCAGCCAUGCCGCGUGCCAGGAAGACGGCCCUAUGGGUUGUAAACUGCUUUUGUAUGGGAGCAAUAAGGGCUACGCGUAGUCCGAUGAGAGUACCAUACGAAUAAGCACCGGCUAACUCCGUGCCAGCAGCCGC
This 498-nucleotide ribosomal RNA is filed under the name uncultured bacterium. RNAcentral's name for it is "bacterial SSU rRNA". It matches the Rfam family "Bacterial small subunit ribosomal RNA", at positions 24 to 518 of the family's 1533-position model. The record is from RNAcentral.